Long non-coding RNA from Neoarius graeffei (lesser salmon catfish), 1950 nucleotides. RefSeq lists it as uncharacterized. The record is from RefSeq and is a predicted model, not a curated record. The transcript is spliced from 6 exons. NCBI's taxonomy places the organism in Eukaryota, Metazoa, Chordata, Actinopteri, Siluriformes, Ariidae.
CCUCUACAACUUUGUGUCUCCAACUUUGUUUAUUCAUAACAGGAAGAAUAACAGGAAAUGCUCUUAUUCUCUUCAGGGAUGGCUUCACCAAGUGUCAAAUAAGAGUUUCUCCAACACACUGAAGAUUUGGACAGAUGACAAGGCCAGGAAGUACCGAUUAAAUAAGAAGAGUGGAUGAGUGGAUGAAACCGGAGGACCUGGAGGAAACCCACGCAGACACGAGGAGAACAUGCAAACUCCUGUCAGCGACUGGACUUGAACCCAGAAUCUUUUUGCUGUAAGUGAGUUGUCCUGUGCAUUUUGGUAAAGAUUGGUCAAGAAGUGACGACGCUAGACCACCAACAAACAAACGGACAGAUCAACAUACUUGCAAAAAUCUCCGAUUUUCACAAGUAACAAACAAACAAAUGAAUGGAGGUGAAAAUGGAACCUUCUCCAGCAAAGAUGGAGGAGGACACACGGCGAGUCUGGAUCCCAGUGCCACAUGCCCUUUCCUCCACCUCGUCCUGCUCUGUGCUGUUCCUGUCUGUGCCGGAGUCUGGAGUACAGGGUCCCCAUGGAGAAGCAUCCCAGUAGUACACUGUGUACGUCUGGGUGCCACAGGCUCUCCACUGCUCCAGCACAGGUGCGCUACAGAUGAAGACUGGCAUGAACUGAGUGAACUGGGAUCUGUUUCUCAUCUUGGGGGCCUCGAAAAGAUAACCAUUUACUCCAGAAUAUCCUUGAUGAAUAUCCCCUUCGUCCGACAUGUAAGAAUCCCAAUCAUUAUCAGAAUUCUCUCCAAAACGUGAUUCCAUAUUAAGACUGCUCUAACCACUGCUGCGCAUGGGAACGAAACUGAUACCUGAACUGUUACACAUGUGACAUCAUGCACCCCUCUGGGCUCGUCCGAUUCAAUCUUGGCAGAUUCCGUGAAAAUGGUCUGAUCUUAUUGAUUUUCCAUUAAUUUAUGGCCUUUUGGAUCAGCUAUGGUUUGAAAACACAUGGUCAAUCAGCAUAAUGAUUGUUACUUUGUACAAGGAAAAAAGUGGGGUUUAGGGGCAUUAAAGGAGAACUGAAGUCAUUUUUAAACUUGCUUUAUUUCUUAAUUAACGUGUUAUUCAAUUACAUUUUCGGUUUUAGUAACCUUAUAUAGUGACUCGUAUCGGCAACUAAUUGCAAUUAAAUAUUAUACUUAUCGGCCUAUUCGGUUUUUAGCCGUGUUGAAUUUAGUUCGUUUGGUCCACGGCAGGCGUCGCUUAUCUGCGCGAUCUUCACGAGACUUGUGCGAGACUUCGAAACGUGAAGUGUCAGCCAGGUGUCAGUGCCGCCAUUUUGAAAACUGUUUUCCAAACGAAAUAUUGCACAAAAACGAGUUUAAAUGACGAUUACUGCCUACUUUUUUUCAAACUUUCCUGAUUGCUAUCAAGUCAAACUAAACUUCCGGCUUGAUUACAUCAGCAUUCGAAAGAGGGCGCGCGCGUCUUUUGACAACGUUGGCAGAUGUUGGUCACUUUGAUUUCUGCUGUACGUUUACUUCCAUCCUACGAUGUCUCGCACAGGUCUCAACGAAUCUCAUUGCUUUGACAUAUGGACUGAUUUAUUACAGAGCAUAUUUCAAACACUCAUAACUUGCUAUAGCAGCGACAAAAUAGCGAUCAAAAAUGCAUUCCUAUAUUUAAUAAAAUGAGAGAAAUAGAAAUUUGAUAAUAAAAAAAAUUGCCUUCAGUUCCCCUUUAAAUGUACUUUAACAAGUAAUCAGAGCUCUCUUUUAACAGAUUGCUAAAAGUUGAAGAAAAGUGAGGCAAAUGAAGGGCGUACAAAUGGUUUGUGUAUAUAUAAAAUAAUAAGAAUAUACGGGCGGGCGGCACGGUGGUGUAGUGGUUAGCGCUGUCGCCUCACAGCAAGAAGGUCCUGGGUUCGAGCCCCAUGGCCGGCGAGGGCCUUUCUGUGUGGAGUUUGCAUGUUCUC